This 325-nucleotide ribosomal RNA is filed under the name uncultured eukaryote. Its description in RNAcentral is "partial 18S ribosomal RNA". It matches the Rfam family "Eukaryotic small subunit ribosomal RNA", at positions 1470 to 1796 of the family's 1831-position model. The record is from RNAcentral.
CCCUUAGAUGUCCUGGGCCGCACGCGCGCUACACUGAUGCAUUCAACGAGUAUUUCCUUGGCCGAGAGGCCUGGGCAAUCUUUUAAACCUGCAUCGUGAUAGGGAUAGAUUAUUGCAAUUAUUAAUCUUGAACGAGGAAUUCCUAGUAAACGCAAAUCAUCAAUUUGCAUUGAUUACGUCCCUGCCCUUUGUACACACCGCCCGUCGCACCUACCGAUUGAAUGGUCCGGUGAAAUCUCGGGAUUGUGGCCAGUUCACUUUAUUGGGAGUUGGCUGCGAGAGCUUGCUUAAACCUUAUCAUUUAGAGGAAGGUGAAGUCGUAACA